CCUACGGGUGGCAGCAGUGGGGAAUAUUGGUCAAUGGGGGGAACCCUGAUCCAGCCAUGCCGCGUGUGUGAAGAAGGCCCUCGGGUUGUAAAGCACUUUCAGUGAGGAAGAACGCCUGGUGGUUAAUACCCAUCAGGAAAGACAUCACUCACAGAAGAAGCACCGGCUAACUCCGUGCCAGCAGCCGCGGUAAUACGGAGGGUGCGAGCGUUAAUCGGAAUUACUGGGCGUAAAGCGCGCGUAGGUGGCUUGAUAAGCCGGUUGUGAAAGCCCCGGGCUCAACCUGGGAACGGCAUCCGGAACUGUCAAGCUAGAGUGCAGGAGAGGAAGGUAGAAUUCCCGGUGUAGCGGUGAAAUGCGUAGAGAUCGGGAGGAAUACCAGUGGCGAAGGCGGCCUUCUGGACUGACACUGACACUGAGGUGCGAAAGCGUGGGUAGCAAACAGGAUUAGAUACCCUAGUAGUC
Molecule: ribosomal RNA, 465 nt
Filed under: Vreelandella stevensii
Lineage: Bacteria; Pseudomonadati; Pseudomonadota; Gammaproteobacteria; Oceanospirillales; Halomonadaceae
Description: partial 16S ribosomal RNA
Rfam family: Bacterial small subunit ribosomal RNA
Source: RNAcentral